Molecule: ribosomal RNA, 253 nt
Filed under: uncultured bacterium
Lineage: Bacteria
Description: partial 16S ribosomal RNA
Rfam family: Bacterial small subunit ribosomal RNA
Source: RNAcentral
UACGUAGGGUGCGAGCGUUGUCCGGAAUUAUUGGGCGUAAAGAGCUCGUAGGCGGUUUGUCGCGUCUGCUGUGAAAACCCGAGGCUCAACCUCGGGCCUGCAGUGGGUACGGGCAGACUAGAGUGCGGUAGGGGAGAUUGGAAUUCCUGGUGUAGCGGUGGAAUGCGCAGAUAUCAGGAGGAACACCGGUGGCGAAGGCGGUUAGCUGGGCAGUUGCUGACACUGAGGCGCGACAGCGUGGGGAGCAAACAGG